Molecule: long non-coding RNA, 1589 nt
Organism: Peromyscus eremicus (cactus mouse)
Lineage: Eukaryota; Metazoa; Chordata; Mammalia; Rodentia; Cricetidae
Exons: 3
Source: RefSeq, a predicted model, not a curated record
UUGAUUGGCCAGUAGCCAGGCAGGAAGUAUAGGUGGGAUAAGCAGACAAGGAGAAUUCUAGGAAGAGUAAGGCUGAGUCAGGAGUCUCCAGCCAGACACAAAAGAAGCAAGAUGCAAAGGCAGAACUGAGAAAAGGUACCAAGCCACGUGGCUAAACAUAGGGUUUUGAUACCACAACAGUAACAGUUUCAUAAAACAAUUGGGGGCCUGACUUCCUUUUCUACUUCACAGAACAGUAGUGUUGGUGUUAUUUCCUCUUUGGAAUUCCCAACUUAAAAUUGAUACAGUACCUCAACAUGGGACCUGAUUCCCUGAAACUGCUAGAAGAAAAAAACAGGGAGCAUGAUUCAAUUUAUAAACACAGGUGAGGAAUUUCUGAGUAAGACUCCAAUAGCACAGACAAUAAGACCAACAAAUGGUAUCUCAGAAACUGAAGAGCUCUAUACAACAAAGAAAAUUAUGAACCAAGUGAGCCCACAGAACAGGAGAAAAUCUUUGCCAACUAUUCAUCCAACAGAAGAUUAAAGUCUAGCAUAUACAAGGAGAUUAAAAAAAACAACUAAACAUUAUGAAAAUAAACAGCUUAAUUAAAAAUGGGCUGUGGAGCUAAACAGAAAAUUCUCAGAAGAAUGCAAAUGGCUAGGAAACACUUUUAGAUGUAUUCAAUAUCCUUAGCCACCAGAAAAAUGAAAAUAAACACUAAUUCAAGAGUCCACCUUACCACAGUCAGAAAAGCCAGCAUCGGAAAGACAGAUAACAAAUGCUGCCUUGGAUGUGGAAAAGGAGACUCUUACAUAGUGCAGAUGGGCUUGUAAACUACUGCAGUGACUGAAAAUCAUUCUGGAAGUUUCUCAAAACACUUCAAAUAUGGUGGUUUCAUUCCUGGGGAAAUACCAAGGGUGUUUCUCACCCCACUGCAGGGAAAUCUGCAAACCUGUGCUCAUUUCUGCUUAGUUCACAAUAGCUGGGAAAUCAACCUAGAUGUCCAUAUACAGAUGAGCAGAUAAAUAUGGCACACAUAUACAAUGUAACUUGCUCAGCCAAAAGGAAAAAUGAAAUUAUCAAAUUCAAAGAUGAAUGAAUGGAACUGGAAAAAUAAAUCAUACUGAGUGAUGUCACUUGGUUCCAGAAAGAGCUUCUCUCCAGUGACUGAUGGAAGCAGACGCAGAGAUCCACAGCCAAACACCAAGCAAAGCUCCAGAAGUCCAGUAGAAGAGAGAAGAGGAGGGAUUCUAUGAGCAAGUGCAUCAGGAUUAUGAUGGGGAAACCUGCAGAGAUGACCAAACCAAGCUAGUGGGAACUCAUUGAAGGUUGGAUCAACGGCUGUGAAGCCUGCAUGGGACUAGACUAGCCCUCUGCAUGGGAGACAAUUGUGUAGUUUGAUCUGCUUGGGGGACCCCCUGGCGGUAAGAUCAGAAUCCAUCCCUAGUGCAUGUGGAGGCUUUUUGGAGCCCACUACCUAUGAUGGGACACCUUGUGCAGCCUUGAGGCAAGGGGAAGGGCUUGGGCUUGCCUCUACUGGAUGUGCCUCCUCAUGGGGGCCUUGCGUUCUUGUUGGGGGGAGUGGGGUGUGGAUUGAGAGGGAGAGG